This 61-nucleotide transfer RNA is filed under the name Abaria herringbona. RNAcentral describes it as "tRNA-Cys". The record is from RNAcentral. Lineage: Eukaryota; Metazoa; Arthropoda; Insecta; Trichoptera; Xiphocentronidae.
AAUCUUAUAUUCAACUAAUGAUUUUAAAUUGCAAAUUUAAAGGUGUAUUUUACUAAGAUUU